RNAcentral lists this ribosomal RNA (830 nucleotides) under uncultured archaeon. Its description in RNAcentral is "bacterial SSU rRNA". It matches the Rfam family "Archaeal small subunit ribosomal RNA", at positions 41 to 878 of the family's 1478-position model. The record is from RNAcentral.
UGAUUAAGCCAUGCAAGUCGAGAGGGUUUAGACCCUCGGCGGACUGCUCAGUAACACGUGGAUAACCUGCCCUAAGGUGGAGCAUAACCCCGGGAAACUGGGGAUAAUACUCCAUAGAUUAGAGAUACUGGAAUGUUCUUUAGUCAAAAGUUCCGGCGCCUUAGGAUGGAUCUGCGGUCGAUUAGGUUGUUGUUGGGGUAACGGCCCAACAAGCCUGUAAUCGAUACGGGUUGUGGGAGCAAUAGCCCGGAGAUGGAAUCUGAGACAAGAUUCCAGGCCCUACGGGGCGCAGCAGGCGCGAAAACUUUACAAUGCAGGAAACUGUGAUAAGGGAACCCCGAGUGCCCGUAUACGCGGGCUGUCCAGGUGUUUAAAAGUCAUCUGAAGAAAGGGCCGGGCAAGACCGGUGCCAGCCGCCGCGGUAAUACCGGCGGCUCGAGUGGUGGCCACUAUUAUUGGGCUUAAAGCGUCCGUAGCUGGACUGAUAAGUCUCUUGGGAAAUCCGCCGGCUCAACCGGCGGGCGUCUAAGGGAUACUGUUGGUCUAGGGACCGGGAGAGGUGAGAGGUACUCCGGGGGUAGGAGUGAAAUCCUGUAAUCCCCGGGGGACCACCGAUGGCGAAGGCAUCUCACCAGAACGGCUCCGACAGUGAGGGACGAAAGCUGGGGGAGCAAACCGGAUUAGAUACCCGGGUAGUCCCAGCCGUAAACUAUGCGCGUUAGGUGUGCUGGUGACCACGUGUCACCGGGGUGCCGAAGGGAAACCGUGAAACGUGCCGCCUGGGAAGUACGGUCGCAAGGCUGAAACUUAAAGGAAUUGGCGGGGGAGCA